UUGCUCCAGCAGCACCGACACCAAAAUUGGAACAGUGCAGAGAAGAAAACCACAGCCCCUGAACAAGAAAGACACCCAAGUUCAGGAAGCAAUCCCUACUUUU
Molecule: small nuclear RNA, 103 nt
Organism: Phascolarctos cinereus (koala)
Lineage: Eukaryota; Metazoa; Chordata; Mammalia; Diprotodontia; Phascolarctidae
Source: Ensembl